UCACAGCCUGAAUUUCUGAGUAUUUCUUGACCAGUAGUGACACAUUCCUCAGGCACUAAUAUAACCCAAAUGGAAACUACAGGUCCUAGGAAAUCCAGAUAGGUCACAAUGGGUUCAUGUGAAGAUCAAGGUGAGCCAGAAGAUCUCACCUGCAAGCCAUUUAGCAGCCCUUUAACUGUAAAAAGCAGCUCCACUUUCUAAGGCUACAGAGUUUAUUUACAUACAAGGUCUCUAUGUAACAUGCUGGAUUUCUUCCCACUGUCAUGGGUCAACCCACACUAGUCUCAGAAGUCAAGGGAAAGCUCUGCCAGCUAACCAUUUCUUAUCAAAGAGGGUGUGAAGAAACCUUGCAAUUUUAACAAUAACUAAGACCAGCAUGUAAGGUGGUCUUACAGAGAUCACUUGCAGGAAGAUAUUCAUAGGAACUUCAGAACUCAAACAGCACUCACAUAACAUGGAAUUUACGCUGAAAAUCCCAUGUCUUCUCUCUCAGAAAAGAGGGGAGCAUACCUGUGUGGAGAGCUUGUAUUUUCUCCCCUCCCAUCCAUUAGAUUUACAACUGAAUAGCGAAUGUGAACUUGAAACUAAUCUUUAAUAAAUCUAUAAAAUGCAAGAUAUUAUGACCAAGUUCUGUACUCGCUUUUUACGGAAGUGACUUCUACUUCAUCAACGUACGGUCUGUUCCUGAAGAAACCUCCUCUUUCUGGGUCAAAUUCUGACUGAGAAUGUAAAGGUAGGUUAUCUUUGAGCCUUGAGCUUGAAACGCCUACCUUUUCCUACCACUUGAUCUCUGUUGCCCUGUGAAAAUUCUGUAAACCUUCCUCAUUGCAUCUGAGGAAUCAUGCUGGAAUGCUUCUUUCUGGCUCGGAGGGUUCCAAGACCUCCCCAGCUAGUGGGCCUUGAAUGCUUCUUUCUGGCUCGGAGGGUUCCAAGACCUCCCCAGCUAGUGGACCUUCCUAGUCCUUAUGCUGUUGCUGUAGCAAUGGGGCAGUUCAAGUUUCCUGAUCAUGGCUGUGAAGCACUCUGGGGCACCUCUGCUCCUGGUAUUUCAGGGUGAUAUUACAUCACUGCUGCUAAUUUUGGUAGCUCUAAACUAUUCUCUCAAAGACCUCUAGGAACCUGAUAUUUAUGCUAAUAAUUACCCAGCAAGAAACAUUAGCUAUAGUUUUUUGCAAUAUCACUUUAUACAGCUAAAAUCACUUUGUAUAUGUAUAGUAACUCAUUGUAUAUAUUUGUCUCUUAUGAAUAUGUGCUUAUUAUAUCUAUAAAUCAACCAGUAUAUAAUUAACAAAAACAAAUGAUUUUUUAGCCUUUUAAUGCAAAAAAUUUAAAUUUAGUAUUACAUAUGAUCUGGCUAAGAGCAAGAGGCCUUCUUAUGAGUGAUCUCCAUCACCCUGUACAGUGCCUGGAACAGAACCUACAGUUUAGCCAACUCUCAAUAAAUGUUUUAGUGAAUGAAUGAAUGAUUGACUAAAGAAAAACAUGAGUUACUUAGCGACCAAAUCUAACACUCAGUGGAAUAGCUGAUUAUAAUCACUAAAGGAUUCGUAAUAGAAAUAGAGAUCUGUAUGCAGUCUACUCCACAGAAACAGUCAGAAGAUCUCAUGGUAGCCUUUUCUAAAUGAAAUUUUUCUUAAGCAGUGUAAGAAUAAAUUUAAACUAAUUAUAAUUAUCAGUGACUUCUUAGGGAGAUGUUUUAGGAAAAAUUA
This 1709-nucleotide long non-coding RNA is filed under the name Pongo abelii (Sumatran orangutan). RNAcentral's name for it is "lncRNA (ENSPPYG00000037335.1)". Lineage: Eukaryota; Metazoa; Chordata; Mammalia; Primates; Hominidae. The record is from RNAcentral.